This 261-nucleotide ribosomal RNA is filed under the name uncultured archaeon. RNAcentral describes it as "partial 16S ribosomal RNA". It matches the Rfam family "Archaeal small subunit ribosomal RNA", at positions 748 to 1009 of the family's 1478-position model. The record is from RNAcentral.
UAGGCGUAAAUGAUGCGAGUUAAGUGUGGGGGCAUCUACGAGAUGGCCCUGUGCUGUAGGGUAGCCGUUAAACUCGCUGCCUGGGGAGUACGGUCGCAAGGCUGAAACUUAAAGGAAUUGGCGGGGGAGCACCACAACGGGCGGAGCCUGCGGUUUAAUUGGACUCAACGCCGGAAAUCUUACCGGGACCGACAGCAACAUGAAGGCCAGGCUGAAGACUUUGCCGGAUUAGCUGAGAGGUGGUGCAUGGCGUAGUCGUGU